UCCGGCUUGAUUAGGCUAGUUCUUCUGCUGGAUCGGUCGGUUCGACCUGGCCCGCACCCGGCCCAUUGCAGAGGGUCGCCUAUGCAAGGGUUUUCCUGGCGCCCAUGCGCGCGCAGAGGUAGAUCGGGGGGAGAGAGGGAGGUUUUCAACAGGGUUUGAGAUCUCCGAGAUGGCUGCGCAAUCUAAGGCUGUCGCAUCUGAAGGCCUUGUUACUCGCACCAGUUCAGGAUGCCGUGGCGUGGAUGGAUUUCACAGGCCACGACCAAGCUUUGAGCAAAUUGGGAGCUACAAAACUGUUACCAGAUUCCCUUAUGGUUCCUCUCUCCUGUGGGGGGCAUCCCAGCCAAAGGUUUCUCCCAUUGGAAGCCGAGGCCUCCAUGCAAGCCGGGUUAUGUCUGAGUCCACAAAAGCUUCAAACCGUCCAUUGUCGCCUCAUCUGCCUCUGAAGAAGCCACAACUUAGUGCGACAUAUUCAAUUUCCCAUCGUAUAUUUGGAGGUUCUGUAGCGUCUCUAAUCCUUCUAGUUCCUGUUGCUAUGAAGUUCAGCCUCAUGUAUGAUGUAUGAAAGCCAAUGCUUGCAGAAGCUUGGUGUCCCCAGCUUUUCUGAGUUCUGUUACAAACGAAGUAUCUGUCCGCUUGCAUGACCAGACCAUGGUGAUGGCGUGGGAACUGGUGUUGUAUUUUGUUUGCAAAUAACAAUCCCGGAUAACUAAGAUUGGCUGGAACAAGAACUACUUGUUCUGAUUGGGUUGUUUA
Phoenix dactylifera (date palm) is the source of this 756-nucleotide non-coding RNA. Lineage: Eukaryota; Viridiplantae; Streptophyta; Magnoliopsida; Arecales; Arecaceae. The record is from RefSeq and is a predicted model, not a curated record.